AUUUUCCUAGCGUAUCCUUGUUGUUGUCACUGCUUGUACAGAACUUUUUAGUUUUUAUGAGUCAAACCUGUCGUCUUCCUGUUGUUUUCAGGGUUUGGGUCCUGCUCAGAAGGCCUCCCUGCUGUGACACGUUAAGAACGACUUAGUGUCUCCCCACUGAAGUCCCCCUCCCCCGUAAUUAGAGCCUGUGGCUGUUUGGCUUGAAGGUACAAAGAGCUCAUCCGCUCCAUGAAGGCAGUGAGGUGUGAAGACACCGUCGGGAGAGAAAGGAGCCAGUUUCUCUAACACCUGUUGCCAUCCUCAAGCUGUCACAACAAAUCCCAACAACAGGGUGCCGGGCACGUGCCCUGCCCCCUCCAGGCAUGAGCGCUCCGGGACAAGGUCCCCUCCUACCUGCGCGAGUGCGGGACCUCGCCAGUGCCGCCGACACGCUGGUGGUGCCCCUGAGCAGCCUGGCCCGCUGUACCCGCGCCUGCCACUCCCAGCAGCUCCUGAAGAUGUUCUGGACAGGUGGUGUCCCCGUGGGGAACGACCACCUUGGUGCUGACCGGUGGGCGGUCGGCGUAGAUGCUGCUGCAUGUGGCUAACGGCAUCCCGCAGGAGCUGAGGGCGCACAUGCUACCCUCCCUGCCCUCCAGCUUCUUCCACGGCGAGGUGGGUCUGCGUGGGGCCUCUCCUCCAGCCUGCCAUCUGAUCUCCCCAUGGCCAUGGUCCCUCGCUCUGCGGGCUGGGCGGCCUCACUCUCCACUUUGCCUUUUCUUGGGCACCGCUCAGCACCUGUGGGGAGGACUGCUCGGGCCUGGUCUCGUUGGCGGCAGCUGGAGCACUGCCCUCACCACCAUCUGCCCGCCAGCUGGGCCUCAACGCCUGCGUGCUCCUCUGUGUCCAAGCCACUCUCCACAUGCUGCCCACAGGGCUGCCCUGCACACACCCCUGCUGGACAUCACCCUUGCCUUUAGGGUGAGGCCGGCGACUGGGUGCUGGGGGCGCCAGAAGAGCGUCGUCCUCUAAAGCGUCUCUUUCACUUGCUCCGUAGGAAAACUGGGUGCUGAAGCUGUUUCUAGAAGGCCUCUUGCACAAAACCGCCAUCCUCCUGGAUGUGGUGGGCAUGAUUAUGCAGGACCCAAGCAACCGACCAGGAGCCCGCCCUGCGUGAGUCCUGAUGCUCUCGGCCGCCAGCCGCGCAGUCACAGCGUGAGGCCACUCCUUGGCCCAGCUCCUGGUUCAGGCGACAGUCCUGGCCCCAGCAGGCAGGUCUGCGCCGGUCUCCUCUGAUAAAGCAGCAGAGAGCAAGCUGCUCCCAGAACCAGCAGACAGCUGGCCAUGCCUGCCCUGGCCGGCAUUGCUCCACCUCAUCAGAGGACGGUGUGUGCAGUCAGCUGCAAAGCCCAGAAUGCAAGGGGCCCUCCCUGCUCACAGACCCCCACCAGCGCCGCCUGGCUCUCAGAGGGGAUUCUCAGCAGUCACUGCCCAGAGCUGGGUGCCACUCCAUGUCAGGAGGAGGCUGGGAGCCCGGGUAGGGCCCUGCCUUUGCAUCUAUGGGCCGGAUGCCGGGGCCACGGCAUGCUGGGCAAGGAGACUCGGUCCCCGCCACAAGCAUCCGUCCCCCUCGCCACCCUUAAGGUGCAUAUGCCUUUAAAGAUGCAAACCAGUAGACUCAGUGGCGACACACCGGGCCCUCUGAGUGGCACAGGCCUUAUCAGGAGGGGACCCCGCAUAGCCUGUGGACACAGUGAGACCAGAGCCAGCCACGUGCUGGAAUGUUUCAUGCUUGUGCAGGUGGUAGGCCCUGGGCCCUGACUACAUGAGUGAGCUGCUGUGCCUGUCCCUGAGCUUCGAGGGUCCAGAAACGCAGCCCUUCAGCCUCUUCCUGUCCCACGUGGUGGCAGAAACCUGAGUGGUGUCCCUGGGCAAAGUCGCUCAACCUUCAUUGUCUCUAAAACCUUCAGGAGGCCGCACCUCGGCCACAAACCACCUGUAGCUGAGCAGAUUCGUGUCUGUCGUUUCCCUGGGAAGACACUGGAAUGCCCAGGUCGGCCGGCCAGGGGAGCGGCAUCCGGACUCCCCAAGACAGCCGGCCCUCGGGAGGUGCUGGGGCUGCCUCCUGGGGAAGAGACAGGCAGGGCUGGCGGUGCCCCGCCUGCCAGCGUGUGUUCAUGGGUUCAUGUGACCUCAGGUGCGGCUGGAGCCCCGACAGCUGUCAGGAUGCACCACGUUAACCAAGGCCGGUUCCCCAAGACCAGGGCCGUCCGCCCACGACACCCCUGGAGUCAUUCUUUGUGUUUUUGCACACAUGAGUCUAAGAGCCUAAAUUAUUUUUGGAAAUCAUUUUCAAACUUUCAAAGAUUAUGUAAAAGCUAUCUGGUUUUUUGAGCAAUGUUUAACUGAGUGAAGUAAAAAGUUUCUUUGGUAUUUUUUCAGUGCCCAUGUUCACCUCUGCUGGUUUUGAUUCCAGGGAUGGGGAACAAGUCGGUACGUCCCCCUGCAGCCACCAGGCCCAUUUGUUGUCACUGUGCCUCAGGGCGGGGGUGGCAUGCAGCCUCUUGUUGCCCC
This 2553-nucleotide long non-coding RNA is filed under the name Equus caballus (horse). RNAcentral describes it as "lncRNA (ENSECAG00000052689.1)". Lineage: Eukaryota; Metazoa; Chordata; Mammalia; Perissodactyla; Equidae. The record is from RNAcentral.